GAUGAACGCUGGCGGCGUGCCUAACACAUGCAAGUCGAACGGAGUCGUUUUGGAAAUCUCUUCGGAGAUGGAAUUCUCGACUUAGUGGCGGACGGGUGAGUAACGCGUGAGCAAUCUGCCUUUAAGAGGGGGAUAACAGUCGGAAACGGCUGCUAAUACCGCAUAAAGCAUUAAAUUCGCAUGUUUUUGAUGCCAAAGGAGCAAUCCGCUUUUAGAUGAGCUCGCGUCUGAUUAGCUAGUUGGCGGGGUAACGGUCCACCAAGGCGACGAUCAGUAGCCGGACUGAGAGGUGGAACGGCCACAUUGGGACUGAGACGCGGCACAGACGACUACGGGAGGAAGCAGUGGGGAAUAUUGCGCAAUGGGGGAAACACUGACGAAGCAACGCCGCGUGAUUGAAGAAGGCCUUCGGGUUGUAAAGAUCUUUAAUCAGGGACGAAACAAAUGACGGUACCUGAAGAAUAAGCUCCGGCUAACUACGUG
This 483-nucleotide ribosomal RNA is filed under the name uncultured bacterium. Its description in RNAcentral is "partial 16S ribosomal RNA". It matches the Rfam family "Bacterial small subunit ribosomal RNA", at positions 28 to 507 of the family's 1533-position model. The record is from RNAcentral.